RNAcentral lists this long non-coding RNA (460 nucleotides) under Salvia miltiorrhiza (redroot sage). Its description in RNAcentral is "long non-coding RNA (SMIL_LNC011346)". The record is from RNAcentral. Lineage: Eukaryota; Viridiplantae; Streptophyta; Magnoliopsida; Lamiales; Lamiaceae.
CUCCUUCUUCAUCAACGGUAGAAAAUUUUAUCUCCGAUACAGAAAUGCUCGACAAUGAAGACUUCCAGGAGGCUCAAGUUCCUUAUGAAGAUCUUAAUAAAUUUUUACUUGAGGGCAUCAGUCAUGAAUAAAGUAUGGCUCAAAGAUGCAUAAUGACGCAUGCCAUGAUGUAAUUUUAAUUUUUUACUAUUAACUUUUUGACUUUUGUUGUUUUGCUUUUUGAAAUUUUUAGCUUGUUGUCGGAAGCCUUUGGCUAUAAAUAAGCUUAAGACCUCACAUGUUUGGGGCACCACUAGAUAAGAAACAUAAGUAAGUUUUUAUAUUCUCUCUCUUGUAAAAAUUCUCUUGUACGUGUGAAGUUUGAAGCAUUGAAGAAAUUCUUCUUAUGUAAGUGUUUUAUUAUGAGUUUAAAUCCUGUAGCGUUCAAUAAUAUUUUUUACGCUCCAUAUGAUUAUAUCAU